ACGCUGGCGGCAGGCUACACAUGCAGUCGAGCGAGGUAGCAAUACCUAGCGGCGGACGGGUGAGUAACGCGUGGGAACGUACCCUUUGCUACGGAAUAGCCUCGGGAAACUGGGAGUAAUACCGUAUGUGCCCUUCGGGGGAAAGAUUUAUCGGCAAAGGAUCGGCCCGCGUUGGAUUAGGUAGUUGGUGGGGUAAUGGCCUACCAAGCCGACGAUCCAUAGCUGGUUUGAGAGGAUGAUCAGCCACACUGGGACUGAGACACGGACCAGACUCCUACGGGAGGCAGCAGUGAGGAAUAUUGGUCAAUGGGGGCAACCCUGAACCAGCCAUGCCGCGUGGAGGAAGACGGCCCUAUGGGUUGUAAACUCCUUUUGUACGGGAAUAAUAGCGCCUACGUGUAGGCGUAUGAAGGUACUGUACGAAUAAGGAUCGGCUAACUCCGUGCCAGCAGCCGCGGUAAUACGGAGGAUCCAAGCGUUAUCCGGAUUUAUUAGGUUUAAAGGGUGCGCAGGCGGCCCUAUAAGUCAGUGGUGAAAGUUUGCGGCUCAACCGUAAAAUUGCCAUUGAUACUGUAGGGCUUGAAUAUGGUAGAGGUAGGCGGAAUGUGUAGUGUAGCGGUGAAAUGCUUAGAUAUUACACAGAACACCGAUUGCGAAGGCAGCUUACUAUGCCAUGAUUGACGCUGAGGCACGAAAGCGUGGGUAGCGAACAGGAUUAGAUACCCUGGUAGUCCACGCCGUAAACGAUGAUUACUGGUUGUGUGCGAUAUACAGUGCGCGACUGAGGGAAACCAUUAAGUAAUCCACCUGGGGAGUACGUUCGCAAGAAUGAAACUCAAAGGAAUUGACGGGGGCCCGCACAAGCGGAGGAACAUGUGGUUUAAUUCGAUGAUACGCGAGGAACCUUACCUGGGCUUAAAUGUAGAGUGCAUGGCUUGGAAACAGGCCUUUCCUUCGGGACUCUUUACAAGGUGCUGCAUGGUUGUCGUCAGCUCGUGCCGUGAGGUGUCGGGUUAAGUCCCAUAACGAGCGCAACCCCUAUCGUUAGUUGCCAGCGGGUAAUGCCGGGGACUCUAGCGAAACUGCCGGUGUAAACCGAGAGGAAGGUGGGGAUGACGUCAAAUCAGCACAGCCCUUAUGUCCAGGGCUACACACGUGUUACAAUGGCCGGUACAAUGGGCAGCUACCAGGUGACUGGAUGCUAAUCUCCAAAGCCGGUCUCAGUUCGGAUCGGAGUCUGCAACUCGACUCCGUGAAGUUGGAUUCGCUAGUAAUCGUAUAUCAGCAAUGAUACGGUGAAUACGUUCCCGGGCCUUGUACACACCGCCCGUCAAGCCAUGGAAGCUGGGGUACCUGAAGUACGUAACCGCAAGGAGCGUCCUAGGUAAA
RNAcentral lists this ribosomal RNA (1389 nucleotides) under uncultured Bacteroidota bacterium. RNAcentral's name for it is "bacterial SSU rRNA". It matches the Rfam family "Bacterial small subunit ribosomal RNA". The record is from RNAcentral. Lineage: Bacteria; Pseudomonadati; Bacteroidota.